This 484-nucleotide ribosomal RNA is filed under the name uncultured bacterium. Its description in RNAcentral is "partial 16S ribosomal RNA". It matches the Rfam family "Bacterial small subunit ribosomal RNA", at positions 28 to 523 of the family's 1533-position model. The record is from RNAcentral.
GACGAACGCUGGCGGCGUGCUUAACACAUGCAAGUCGAACGAUGAAGCCGGAGCUUGCUCUGGUGAAUUAGUGGCGAACGGGUGAGUAACACGUGAGUAACCUGCCCUUGACUCUGGGAUAACUGCGGGAAACUGUAGCUAAUACCGGAUACGACCCUCGGAGGCAUCUCCUGGGGGUGGAAAGAAUUUCGGUCAAGGAUGGACUCGCGGCCUAUCAGCUAGUUGGUGAGGUAAAGGCUCACCAAGGCGACGACGGGUAGCCGGCCUGAGAGGGUGACCGGCCACACUGGGACUGAGACACGGCCCAGACUCCUACGGGAGGCAGCUGUGGGGAAUAUUGCACAAUGGGCUCAAGCCUGAUGCAGCAACGCCGCGUGAGGGAUGACGGCCUUCGGGUUGUAAACCUCUUUUAGCAGGGAAGAAGCGAAAGUGACGGUACCUGCAGAAAAAGCACCGGCUAACUACGUGCCAGCCGCCGCGGUAA